CUAGAGAGUAGUUGCGGUAGGCGGAAUGUAUGGUGUAGCGGUGAAAUGCUUAGAGAUCAUACAGAACACCGAUUGCGAAGGCAGCUUACCAAACUAUAUCUGACGUUGAGGCACGAAAGCGUGGGGAGCAAACAGGAUUAGAUACCCUGGUAGUCCACGCAGUAAACGAUGAUAACUCGUUGUCGGCGAUACACAGUCGGUGACUAAGCGAAAGCGAUAAGUUAUCCACCUGGGGAGUACGUUCGCAAGAAUGAAACUCAAAGGAAUUGACGGGGGCCCGCACAAGCGGAGGAACAUGUGGUUUAAUUCGAUGAUACGCGAGGAACCUUACCCGGGCUUGAAAGUUACUGACGAUUCUGGAAACAGGAUUUCCCUUCGGGGCAGGAAACUAGGUGCUGCAUGGUUGUCGUCAGCUCGUGCCGUGAGGUGUCGGGUUAAGUCCCAUAACGAGCGCAACCCCUACCGUUAGUUGCCAUCAGGUGAAGCUGGGCACUCUGGCGGGACUGCCGGUGUAAGCCGAGAGGAAGGUGGGGAUGACGUCAAAUCAGCACGGCCCUUACGUCCGGGGCUACACACGUGUUACAAUGGUAGGUACAGAGGGCAGCUACCCAGCGAUGGGAUGCGAAUCUCGAAAGCCUAUCUCAGUUCGGAUUGGAGGCUGAAACCCGCCUCCAUGAAGUUGGAUUCGCUAGUAAUCGCGCAUCAGCCAUGGCGCGGUGAAUACGUUCCCGGGCCUUGUACACACCGCCCGUCAAGCCAUGGGAGCCGGGGGUGCCUGAAGUUCGUGACCGCAAGGAGCGACCUAGGGCAAAACUGGUGACUGGGGCUAAGUCGUAACAAGGUAGCCGUACCGGAAGGUGCGGCUG
This 866-nucleotide ribosomal RNA is filed under the name gut metagenome. RNAcentral's name for it is "bacterial SSU rRNA". It matches the Rfam family "Bacterial small subunit ribosomal RNA", at positions 641 to 1520 of the family's 1533-position model. The record is from RNAcentral.